ACACAAGGAAGGAGGUGGUCCGACCAAUUGAUUGACUUACGGACAUGUGAGGUGGCUGCGAGCUAGCAGCGCACGGGGAGUCCUCCGCGCGCGCUGGCGAAUUCCCCGCAGUCACCCGGCCCCCGAGCCUCUCGGUUUUGUCCAACCAGGUACAACGGCUCGGGGGCCGCUUCAU
Molecule: small RNA, 175 nt
Filed under: Mycobacterium sp. OAS707
Lineage: Bacteria; Bacillati; Actinomycetota; Actinomycetes; Mycobacteriales; Mycobacteriaceae
Description: sRNA Ms_IGR-5
Rfam family: Actinobacteria sRNA Ms_IGR-5
Source: RNAcentral